This 584-nucleotide ribosomal RNA is filed under the name uncultured bacterium. RNAcentral's name for it is "bacterial SSU rRNA". It matches the Rfam family "Bacterial small subunit ribosomal RNA", at positions 338 to 916 of the family's 1533-position model. The record is from RNAcentral.
CCUACGGGAGGCAGCAGUGGGGAAUUUUGGACAAUGGGCGCAAGCCUGAUCCAGCAAUGCCGCGUGAGUGAAGAAGGCCUUCGGGUUGUAAAGCUCUUUUGUCAGGGAAGAAACGGGUCUUUCUAAUACAGAGGUCUAAUGACGGUACCUGAAGAAUAAGCACCGGCUAACUACGUGCCAGCAGCCGCGGUAAUACGUAGGGUGCAAGCGUUAAUCGGAAUUACUGGGCGUAAAGCGUGCGCAGGCGGUUUUGUAAGUUUGUCGUGAAAUCCCCGGGCUCAACCUGGGAAUGGCGAUGAAGACUGCAAGGCUAGAGUUUGGCAGAGGGGGGUAGAAUUCCACGUGUAGCAGUGAAAUGCGUAGAUAUGUGGAGGAACACCGAUGGCGAAGGCAGCCCCCUGGGUCAAAACUGACGCUCAUGCACGAAAGCGUGGGGAGCAAACAGGAUUAGAUACCCUGGUAGUCCACGCCCUAAACGAUGUCUACUAGUUGUCGGGUCUUAAUUGACUUGGUAACGCAGCUAACGCGUGAAGUAGACCGCCUGGGGAUACGGUCGCAAGAUUAAAACUCAAAUGAAUUGACGG